Molecule: long non-coding RNA, 2255 nt
Filed under: Homo sapiens (human)
Lineage: Eukaryota; Metazoa; Chordata; Mammalia; Primates; Hominidae
Description: HSALNT0294666
Source: RNAcentral
AGUGUUUGCACAGGACCCGGGCGCAGCCACUGGGGCUGGCGAGGACACACCUGGUCCCGGCCAGCGCGGCGGAGGGCAUCGUGACUCCAGGCUGUACCGCGGCCCCCAACGAAGCACGUGACCCUCGUGUGGUCAUAAAGGGAGAGCACAGUUUUACGGGGAGGGACUGGGUAGCGGUCUCAGUAACAGGCAGAGUGCCAUAGUGUCAGUCCCUUUUCCCAAACUCCGAUCAGGAAGGGAAACACCCCCACCCACUCCGCUCCCAUCCCCAGAAGUCCCUCAGAAGCUCUUUUCUCCCCGAAGAGGACCCUGGGAAGGUGGCUCCCGCCUCACUCCUAGAGUGAAAUCCUCGCAGCCCUGCCCUCGCGGGCGGAGCAGAGACGCCGCCGCUUGGCCGGUUCACGCCUGUCACACAAAGCCGCCGAGGGUCGGCUGCGCCCCUGGCAAGGCUGUAGGGCUGGGGAUACUGAGUAUGACAGGCGAGGUCCCUGCUCUCAAGAACUUACAUGGGAGAGAAGGGGAGACAAGAUAAACAGGAGCCAGAGAAUUCUCGUAGCUGUGAUUAGACAUCAACCUUGGGCAUGCUAAACAUUUCAGCCUGGACACCCUGAGAAGAGCCAGUGCCACUGGUGACAGCUGCUUCUGUGCGGGCUUUUGCUUGGCCAGAGAGGCAGGACCUUCUCCCUGGCAUUUUGAGGAGUGGUGCCGGGUGGGCAGUGACUGCACUAGCAACAGUCUAUACCAAGAGAAGACCUCAAAUUCCCAGAGAAGAAAGGCAGCGAGGCCAAGAAAUGCUGCCGCCGCUUAACAAGUGAAGAUGCAUACUGGAGAAUAGGAACUGAACACGCGAAGGAGUUUCGGCUUUACUGCCUUCUCUCCUAGCAUUGAACAGAUCUUCUCUGCUGUUGAUUAUUCUCCAUGAAUCAUCAUCCAUAGAAAGUGACUGAGGCAAUAGAGAGUGAAUAAUGAAUCUCUCAAAUAGUCUUUUGUGUUUCUGCCUGGAGGGUUUUGGAAAUAACUUGCAUCUUAAUCUUUCUGACUUAGAAUCAUAGAAUUUGGGAGCUGAAAAGGACCUUCAUCAGGGCAUGUGGCCUCACAGAAAGACUGGAAGAAAAGAUUUGUGGGUAUGAGCCUCUGGUUCAUCACUAAAAAUAGGCCUAGUCUAACAUAUAUUGGAGGCUUUCCUUGUGUCAGGUACUCAUUUAUUCUUCCAAAACCUUGGGAGGUAGGUGCUGCUAUUCCUCCAUUCUGCAGAGGAGGAAGAGAUGAGGAGACAGUAGAUCACCAGAGGGCAGUGUGAGGGGUGUGCUGGAACCAUCAUGUGGAACUGGCUCUGGUUCCAGAAUCCACAUCCUCUCGGUCAUUCCACUCCCACAUCAAGUGGCUUUGGACAAGUAAUUUAACUUCUUUGGAUCUCAGUUUUCUCCUCCGUGAUCUCUAAAGUUUAAAAAUUACUAACAGUCUGCAUCUGCCACCCAAGCAUGUGAUUUUACAAGUCAGAAAAGUGUAGCGCAGAAAUGUUAAGUGACCUGCCCUAGGUCACCCAGGUUGCUAAGGGCAGAAUCAGCACAGAAACCCAGGCCCAGUGACCACUGCCCCCAGGCAAGACCUCCUUCCCUUCCACUGCACUUUGGCAGGUGUUCUAGGGGAAUCCAACUCCUUGCCUUAGAGGAGACCUGUUCAAUGAUAUCAGAUAGACUGGAGAUGUUACGUUUUGGUGUGGCCAAUCACAACACCAGGAUGAGCUUAGGAGGCUGGUGAUAUUUGUCUAUCUAAGCACCCCCAACCUAUCUAUCUGUCUGCUGUUUGUCUAUCUUUCUCAGGUUAUGCAUAGUGACCAAACCCCGCCUGGUAACUGUAGGGAAAGAGCAUGACUGGUGUGUUACAGCUACACACGCCCCCUGGUGGUAUUUCCAGUUGUUUGUCCUCUUCAUGCAAAUGUUGCCACCUUGUGCCAGCUCUCUCACCUAGCUUCCUUCAUGACGACAGUGGUUGCAAUUCUGCUCCUCUCUCUGCCUUCCCCUGUCCUUGGCUCCCCAUGUCCAGAAUCUGAUCAUUUACUGGUGUGCACCCUGGGAUGUGAUGUGUGCUUUGGGAGGAGACAGGACCCAACAGUAUCUCAGCUGUGCUCUGGUAAUCAGUGUGCACCACAUUACAAGCAUCCUCAUCCCAGUAUCCUCCCUAUUGAAAAAGAAAUGGGAAAGGGGUGGAUGUGUCAAUAAACACAACAUUGAAGGCAUCUGAAAUAGAACAAG